AGAGACUCGAUGCUAGAUUAUUGUUAUCAGUCAUGAUCGCCCCGUCCGUCUGUGUCCGUUUUUCUACCUGGAUCGUCUAACUCGUCACUGGAUACCUGGACAUCACCAUCUUCCCCAUGCCUGAGGGGGCUGGACAGGCACCCCAAGGGAUUCCGGCGCCUUUGCUCAAGGGCACCUUGGCAGUGCCUUGGACGUGAACUGGCACCUCUCCAGCUACCAGUCCACACUUGACACGCACACUCACUGUGUCUAUCAUGGUUGGGCUGCAGACCCUGACCACCCCUGAGAUCGCUGGAUUAGGAAUGAUGACCAACAAUGCCACACACACACACACACACACACACACACACACACACACACACACACACACACACAUGUAAACGCAUUGACAAACUAAUAUCUGUGGUAUGCUGUCUUGUUUUCCAUUUACAUUCUUUUUGUUUUCAAUUACUUAAUUCAAUUAAUAAGUAAUGUCUGUCAUACUUGUAAAUUAUCACUUGUUUAAUUUUGAUGAAUUCAUGUGCUAGUUUGAAUGCAUAUACAGUAUA
This is a long non-coding RNA of Perca flavescens (yellow perch), 548 nucleotides long. RefSeq lists it as uncharacterized. NCBI's taxonomy places the organism in Eukaryota, Metazoa, Chordata, Actinopteri, Perciformes, Percidae. The record is from RefSeq and is a predicted model, not a curated record. The transcript has 3 exons.